GGGGUUAUAGCUUAAAUGGGAAAGCAGCGGGUUUGCAACUCGCAGUUCGGAGUUCGAUUCUCCGUUUCUCCACCA
This 75-nucleotide transfer RNA is filed under the name Pectobacterium phage Arno18. RNAcentral's name for it is "tRNA-Ala". It matches the Rfam family "tRNA". Rfam says of the family: Transfer RNA (tRNA) molecules are approximately 80 nucleotides in length. Their secondary structure includes four short double-helical elements and three loops (D, anti-codon, and T loops). Further hydrogen bonds mediate the characteristic L-shaped molecular structure. tRNAs have two regions of fundamental functional importance: the anti-codon, which is responsible for specific mRNA codon recognition, and the 3' end, to which the tRNAs corresponding amino acid is attached (by aminoacyl-tRNA synthetases). tRNAs cope with the degeneracy of the genetic code in two manners: having more than one tRNA (with a specific anti-codon) for a particular amino acid; and 'wobble' base-pairing, i.e. permitting non-standard base-pairing at the 3rd anti-codon position. Lineage: Duplodnaviria; Heunggongvirae; Uroviricota; Caudoviricetes; Andersonviridae. The record is from RNAcentral.